This 305-nucleotide ribosomal RNA is filed under the name uncultured Sphingobacteriales bacterium. RNAcentral's name for it is "bacterial SSU rRNA". It matches the Rfam family "Bacterial small subunit ribosomal RNA", at positions 1077 to 1382 of the family's 1533-position model. The record is from RNAcentral. Lineage: Bacteria; Pseudomonadati; Bacteroidota; Sphingobacteriia; Sphingobacteriales.
GGGUUAAGUCCCAUAACGAGCGCAACCCUUAUCGUUAGUUGCCAUCUGGUAAAGCAGGGGACUCUAGCGAAACUGCCACCGUAAGGUGAGAGGAAGUGGGGAUGACGUCAAAUCAGCACGGCCCUUAUGUCCAGGGCUACACACGUGUUACAAUGGUCGGUACAGGGGGCAGCUACCUGGUGACAGGAUGCUAAUCUCGAAAACCGGCCUCAGUUCGGAUCGAAGUCUGCAACUCGACUUCGUGAAGCUGGAUUCGCUAGUAAUCGCGCAUCAGCCAUGGCGCGGUGAAUACGUUCCCGGGCCUU